RNAcentral lists this transfer RNA (62 nucleotides) under Chelodina longicollis. Its description in RNAcentral is "tRNA-Ser". Lineage: Eukaryota; Metazoa; Chordata; Testudines; Chelidae. The record is from RNAcentral.
CGAGAAAGACAUACAUAAGAACUGCUAAUUCUUACAACUGAGACUAAAACCUCAGCUCUCUC